AACAAUCUGCUGUGCUAGAUACACCCUUAGGACAGGAUUGGUUUGGAAUGGGAAGGACUGGUGGAGCUUGUCAUUAAACAAAAAUUGUGUUUAAUAAAACUUUAUAACCGUGAUUAAUCCUAUGAGGCCCUAAAGGAGUUUGCAGUUUCUGAUAAACACAUUUUCCUUGUUUGCAAUGGUAAUGAUAUUUUGAAGUGAAUGGAAUCUGAACAAAAAACUCUAAGGGUAAAAAAGGACUUGUCAGGUACCACCUAUGAAGAAAUUACAAUGACACAAAAGAAAAAGGAGCCACCCACAAGGGAAACCUUAGAUUAUAUGUUUGAAGGAAGAAAGAAAAGAUAGGUCAUUGAAGGUCUGCCUUUAGAGUAGUCUGAUCACCACAGAAGUGCCUAUAAAAACACAGAAAUUAUCUGAGGGCAUCUAGCAUGCGAGGAAUAGCACCACAUGUUAGGUGCAGGUGCUCAUUUGCAAAUGCGUACAGGACUGGAGCUACAGCCAUGAGCUGAAGUAAUUUGUUUGCAGGGAGCAGGGAAUAUUUUCCACUGUGAAUGCUUUGCUGACCAGCACAAAGUCCCAGGACUGAAUCACUAAAAAAAGACAUUUUGCAAGGAGAGCAGCUUUCACAGGGAAAGAAAAGAGUGUCAAUCCAGCAUCCGCACUGGAUGGGCUCUGAUGACCUUAACAAUCUCCAGCUUCUGCGAUUCCAUAAAGAUAUGAUACCUCAAGGCAAACCAAGGAAGACAUUUUUCAGUCAAUCUCAAAAUAUUUCAGCAAAGCACUCUAACAAAGACAUUAGGGUCCCAGAACAGUGACAGCUUUAAGGCAGUGUUCAUGUCCUUCUGGCACUGAAAUGACUCAUGGCCCAGAGGAGAUAUCGGGAUGUGAUUAAGG
Molecule: long non-coding RNA, 891 nt
Organism: Gallus gallus (chicken)
Lineage: Eukaryota; Metazoa; Chordata; Aves; Galliformes; Phasianidae
Source: Ensembl